RNAcentral lists this ribosomal RNA (356 nucleotides) under uncultured Desulfobulbus sp. RNAcentral describes it as "bacterial SSU rRNA". It matches the Rfam family "Bacterial small subunit ribosomal RNA", at positions 1028 to 1382 of the family's 1533-position model. The record is from RNAcentral. Lineage: Bacteria; Pseudomonadati; Thermodesulfobacteriota; Desulfobulbia; Desulfobulbales; Desulfobulbaceae.
CUGGAGACAGGUGCUGCAUGGCUGUCGUCAGCUCGUGUCGUGAGAUGUUGGGUUAAGUCCCGCAACGAGCGCAACCCUUGCCUUUAGUUGCCAGCAGUUCGGCUGGGCACUCUAAAGGGACUGCCGGUGUUAAACCGGAGGAAGGUGGGGAGUGACGUCAAGUCCUCAUGGCCUUUAUGACCAGGGCUACACACGUACUACAAUGGCCGAUACAAAGGGCAGCGACACUGCGAGGUGAAGCCAAUCCCGUAAAAUACGGUCUCAGUCCGGAUUGGAGUCUGCAACUCGACUCCAUGAAGUUGGAAUCGCUAGUAAUCGUGGAUCAGCAUGCCACGGUGAAUACGUUCCCGGGCCUU